This 164-nucleotide ribosomal RNA is filed under the name uncultured bacterium. RNAcentral's name for it is "partial 16S ribosomal RNA". It matches the Rfam family "Bacterial small subunit ribosomal RNA", at positions 355 to 511 of the family's 1533-position model. The record is from RNAcentral.
UAGGGAAUCUUCGGCAAUGGACGAAAGUCUGACCGAGCAACGCCGCGUGAGUGAAGAAGGUUUUCGGAUCGUAAAACUCUGUUGGUAGAGAAGAACGUUGGUGAGAGUGGAAAGCUCAUCAAGUGACGGUAACUACCCAGAAAGGGACGGCUAACUACGGCCAG